RNAcentral lists this ribosomal RNA (270 nucleotides) under uncultured bacterium. RNAcentral's name for it is "partial 16S ribosomal RNA". It matches the Rfam family "Bacterial small subunit ribosomal RNA", at positions 524 to 794 of the family's 1533-position model. The record is from RNAcentral.
UACGGAGGGUGCAAGCGUUACACGGAAUUACUGGGCGUAAAGAGCGUGUAGGCGGGUAAAUAAGUUGGAAGUGAAAUCCUAUGGCUCAACCAUAGAACUGCUUCCAAAACUGUUAACCUAGAAUGUGGGAGAGGUAGAUGGAAUUUCUGGUGUAGGGUAAAAUCCGUAGAUAUCAGAAGGAAUACCGAUUGCGAAGGCGAUCUACUGGAACACAAUUGACGCUGAGACGCGAAAGCGUGGGGAGCAAACAGGAUUAGAUACCCGCGUAGU